RNAcentral lists this long non-coding RNA (795 nucleotides) under Bos taurus (domestic cattle). RNAcentral's name for it is "uncharacterized LOC100616526, transcript variant 2 (LOC100616526)". Lineage: Eukaryota; Metazoa; Chordata; Mammalia; Artiodactyla; Bovidae. The record is from RNAcentral.
CAAGUAAUCCUUGUGUGUGACAGAGGAGAGAGAGGAGAGAGGGAGAGGCGAGCUUUCGGAGAGGAGCAGCAGGCAGGAGGAGGAUCUGGCAUAGCGGCUGGGAGAGGAAACUUGACGCUUCGGGGCCAGCAUUUGCCAGGGCCUUACUCGAGACGCCGAAAGGAGCCUGUUUGCGUACUGCGGCUGCCCUGUGAUUCUGGAUCUUGUCUCCUGGCCGGCGCCUCGAUUCCUACCCAGCUGGAUUGGGGGGCAACACUGCCUGGCGCAGCCAAGAGAGCGAAUGAGACCACAAAGAAGCAUAAAAUGAAUAGAUAAUCCAACCAACCAAAGGUAAUCCAUAUUGCCAUGUCAGGAAGCAAGGACCAGGAGUGGAAGUGAGGGCUCCAAAACUUAUGGCUGGGUGGCCAUAUGAGUGAUGCAUGUCACCUUCCUGCAAGGCAACCAGUUUGCAGAUCUGGCCAGAGGGAAAAUUACUGGACAACAAAAUGAAAAGGAGGCGUAAGUCAGCCCAGAUCUCUGAACCCUAGGAAAGGCAACUUCCCUCCCGCUCAUGAAAGAGGACGAUUGUGCUCAGUACCACUUAUCUGGUGCCAACAAUCUGGUUUUCCAGUUCCCUCCUCCUUUCCCUUAUUUCCACCACCACCUGCAACUUCAAAACUAAAGAUCAGACACCAUCAUCCUGUUGUUUGAAACUUUCUCUGAAAGCUGGUCCUUUCCCUUCCCCAGCCUCUUCCUGGUGCCUCCCUGCAAAGGCAGAAUGUUAAUACACAGAUUUGUACGUGACAAUGUUAGGUG